AGCGAAGUUUUUCUGGUGCUUGCACUAGAAAAACUUAGCGGCGAACGGGUGAGUAACACGUAAAGAACCUGCCUCAUAGACGGGGACAACUAUUGGAAACGAUAGCUAAUACCGGAUAACAGCAUAAAUCGCAUGAUAUAUGUUUAAAAGUUGGUUUCGGCUAACACUAUGAGAUGGCUUUGCGGUGCAUUAGCUAGUUGGUGGGGUAAAGGCCUACCAAGGCGACGAUGCAUAGCCGACCUGAGAGGGUGAUCGGCCACACUGGGACUGAGACACGGCCCAGACUCCUACGGGAGGCAGCAGUAGGGAAUCUUCCGCAAUGGGCGAAAGCCUGACGGAGCAACGCCGCGUGAGUGAAGAAGGAUUUCGGUUCGUAAAGCUCUGUUGUUAGGGAAGAAUGAUUGUAUAGUAACUAUAUACAGUAGAGACGGUACCUAACCAGAAAGCCACGGCUAACUACGUGCCAGCAGCCGCGGUAAUACGUAGGUGGCAAGCGUUGUCCGGAAUUAUUGGGCGUGAAGCGCGCGCAGGUGGUUUAAUAAGUCUGAUGUGAAAGCCCACGGCUCAACCGUGGAGGGUCAUUGGAAACUGUUAAACUUGAGUGCAGGAGAGAAAAGUGGAAUUCCUAGUGUAGCGGUGAAAUGCGUAGAGAUUAGGAGGAACACCAGUGGCG
This 673-nucleotide ribosomal RNA is filed under the name uncultured Bacilli bacterium. RNAcentral's name for it is "bacterial SSU rRNA". It matches the Rfam family "Bacterial small subunit ribosomal RNA", at positions 65 to 717 of the family's 1533-position model. The record is from RNAcentral. Lineage: Bacteria; Bacillati; Bacillota; Bacilli.